RNAcentral lists this ribosomal RNA (523 nucleotides) under Bifidobacterium longum subsp. infantis. RNAcentral describes it as "bacterial SSU rRNA". It matches the Rfam family "Bacterial small subunit ribosomal RNA", at positions 158 to 696 of the family's 1533-position model. RNAcentral also lists the same sequence under 2 other names. Lineage: Bacteria; Bacillati; Actinomycetota; Actinomycetes; Bifidobacteriales; Bifidobacteriaceae. The record is from RNAcentral.
GGGUGGUAAUGCCGGAUGCUCCAGUUGAUCGCAUGGUCUUCUGGGAAAGCUUUCGCGGUAUGGGAUGGGGUCGCGUCCUAUCAGCUUGACGGCGGGGUAACGGCCCACCGUGGCUUCGACGGGUAGCCGGCCUGAGAGGGCGACCGGCCACAUUGGGACUGAGAUACGGCCCAGACUCCUACGGGAGGCAGCAGUGGGGAAUAUUGCACAAUGGGCGCAAGCCUGAUGCAGCGACGCCGCGUGAGGGAUGGAGGCCUUCGGGUUGUAAACCUCUUUUAUCGGGGAGCAAGCGAGAGUGAGUUUACCCGUUGAAUAAGCACCGGCUAACUACGUGCCAGCAGCCGCGGUAAUACGUAGGGUGCAAGCGUUAUCCGGAAUUAUUGGGCGUAAAGGGCUCGUAGGCGGUUCGUCGCGUCCGGUGUGAAAGUCCAUCGCUUAACGGUGGAUCCGCGCCGGGUACGGGCGGGCUUGAGUGCGGUAGGGGAGACUGGAAUUCCCGGUGUAACGGUGGAAUGUGUAGAUA